ACUACGGGUGGCAGCAGUGAGGAAUAUUGGUCAAUGGACGAGAGUCUGAACCAGCCAAGUAGCGUGAAGGAUGACUGCCCUAUGGGUUGUAAACUUCUUUUAUAUGGGAAUAAAAUGUUCCACGUGUGGGAUUUUGUAUGUACCAUCUGAAUAAGGAUCGGCUAACUCCGUGCCAUCAGCCGCGGUAAUACGGAGGAUCCGGGCGUUAUCCGGAUUUAUGGGGUUUAAAGGGAGCGUAGGUGGAUUGUUAAGUCAGUUGUGAAAGUUUGCGGCUCAACCGUAAAAUUGCAGUUGAAACUGGCAGUCGUGAGUACAGUAGAGGUGGGCGGAAGUCGUGGUGUAGCGGUGAAAUGCGUAGAGAUCACGAAGAACUCCGAUUGCGAAGGCAGCUCACUGGACUGCAACUGACACUGAGGCUCGAAAGUGUGGGUAUCAAACAGGAUUAGAUACCCGUGUAGUC
Molecule: ribosomal RNA, 460 nt
Filed under: uncultured bacterium
Lineage: Bacteria
Description: partial 16S ribosomal RNA
Rfam family: Bacterial small subunit ribosomal RNA
Source: RNAcentral